UAUGUAUUGUGGCCAGCCCCGCGGUAAAACGUAGGUCACAAGCGUUGUCCGGAAUUACUGGGUGUAAAGGGAGCGCAGGCGGGAAGACAAGUUGGAAGUGAAAUCCAUGGGCUCAACCCAUGAACUGCUUUCAAAACUGUUUUUCUUGAGUAGUGCAGAGGUAGGCGGAAUUCCCGGUGUAGCGGUGGAAUGCGUAGAUAUCGGGAGGAACACCAGUGGCGAAGGCGGCCUACUGGGCACCAACUGACGCUGAGGCUCGAAAGUGUGGGUAGCAAACAGG
Molecule: ribosomal RNA, 280 nt
Filed under: Faecalibacterium prausnitzii
Lineage: Bacteria; Bacillati; Bacillota; Clostridia; Eubacteriales; Oscillospiraceae
Description: partial 16S ribosomal RNA
Rfam family: Bacterial small subunit ribosomal RNA
Source: RNAcentral